GUAGUCCACGCCGUAAACGAUGAGUGCUAAGUGUUAGGGGGUUUCCGCCCCUUAGUGCUGCAGCUAACGCAUUAAGCACUCCGCCUGGGGAGUACGGUCGCAAGACUGAAACUCAAAGGAAUUGACGUGGGCCCGCACAAGCGGUGGAGCAUGUGGUUUAAUUCGAAGCAACGCGAAGAACCUUACCAGGUCUUGACAUCCUCUGACAAUCCUAGAGAUAGGACGUCCCCUUCGGGGGCAGAGUGACAGGUGGUGCAUGGUUGUCGUCAGCUCGUGUUGUGAGAUGUUGGGUUAAGUCCCGCAACGAGCGCAACCCUUGAUCUUAGUUGCCAGCAUUCAGUUGGGCACUCUAAGGUGACUGCCGGUGACAAACCGGAGGAAGGUGGGGAUGACGUCAAAUCAUCAUGCCCCUUAUGACCUGGGCUACACACGUGCUACAAUGGACAGAACAAAGGGCAGCGAAACCGCGAGGUUAAGCCAAUCCCACAAAUCUGUUCUCAGUUCGGAUCGCAGUCUGCAACUCGACUGCGUGAAGCUGGAAUCGCUAGUAAUCGCGGAUCAGCAUGCCGC
RNAcentral lists this ribosomal RNA (570 nucleotides) under Bacillus subtilis. RNAcentral's name for it is "bacterial SSU rRNA". It matches the Rfam family "Bacterial small subunit ribosomal RNA", at positions 790 to 1360 of the family's 1533-position model. Lineage: Bacteria; Bacillati; Bacillota; Bacilli; Caryophanales; Bacillaceae. The record is from RNAcentral.